Delphinapterus leucas (beluga whale) is the source of this 107-nucleotide small nuclear RNA. NCBI's taxonomy places the organism in Eukaryota, Metazoa, Chordata, Mammalia, Artiodactyla, Monodontidae. The record is from Ensembl.
AUGCUCGCUUAGGCAGCACAUAUACGGAAACUGGAACAAUACAGAAAAGAUUAGCAUAGCCCCUGCACAAGCAUGACACACAAAUUCAUGAAGCAUUCCAUAUUUUU